UGUUGACUCGGAUCAGGUAGGAAUACCCGCUGAACUUAAGCAUAUCAAUAAGCGGAGGAAAG
This 62-nucleotide ribosomal RNA is filed under the name Trichoderma sp. THSoW29508. RNAcentral describes it as "partial 28S ribosomal RNA". It matches the Rfam family "Eukaryotic large subunit ribosomal RNA", at positions 1 to 60 of the family's 3401-position model. The record is from RNAcentral. Lineage: Eukaryota; Fungi; Ascomycota; Sordariomycetes; Hypocreales; Hypocreaceae.